RNAcentral lists this ribosomal RNA (403 nucleotides) under uncultured bacterium. RNAcentral describes it as "bacterial SSU rRNA". It matches the Rfam family "Bacterial small subunit ribosomal RNA", at positions 355 to 774 of the family's 1533-position model. The record is from RNAcentral.
UAGGGAAUAUUGCAAAAUGGGCGAAAGCCCGAUGCAGCAACGCCGCGUGGGCGAUGAAGGCCUUCGGGUCGUAAAGCCCUUUUUGAGGGGAUGAGGAAGGACAGUACCCUCAGAAUAAGCCUCGGCUAACUACGUGCCAGCAGCCGCGGUAAAACGUAGGAGGCGAGCGUUAUCCGGAUUUACUGGGCGUAAAGCGCGUGCAGGCGGAUUGGAGAGUUGGAUGUGAAAGCUCCCGGCUUAACUGGGAGAGGUCGUUCAAUACUUCCAGUCUUGAGUGCAGUAGAGGGAAGUGGAAUUCCGGGUGUAGUGGUGAAAUGCGUAGAUAUCCGGAGGAACACCAGUGGCGAAAGCGGCUCCCUGGGCUGAAACUGACGCUCAGACGCGAAAGCUAGGGUAGCGAACG